ACCCGCUGAACUUAAGCAUAUCAAUAAGCGGAGGAAAAGAAAAUAACAAUGAUUUCCCUAGUAACGGCGAGUGAAGAGGAAAGAGCUCAAAGUUGGAACCUGUUUGGCUUAGCUAAACCGGAUUGUAAACUGUAGAAACAUUUUCCAGAUACACUAGACAAAAAAGUCCUUUGGAACAGGGCAUCAUAGAGGGUGAGAAUCCCGUCUUUGGUCUAAGUAGUUGUCUAUUGUGAUAUGUUUUCAAAGAGUCAGGUUGUUUGGGAAUGCAGCCUAAAUUGGGUGGUAAAUCUCACCUAAAGCUAAAUAUUUGCGAGAGACCGAUAGCGAACAAGUACCGUGAGGGAAAGAUGAAAAGAACUUUGAAAAGAGAGUUAAACAGUAUGUGAAAUUGUUAAAAGGGAACCGUUUGGAGCCAGACUGGCUUGAUUGUAAUCAACCUAGAAUUCGUUUUGGGUGCACUUGCAGUCUAUGCCUGCCAACGACAGUUUGAUUUGGAGGAAAAAAUUAAUAGGAAUGUGGCCUCUCGAGGUGUUAUAGCCUAUUAUCAUACUCUGGAUUGGACUGAGGAACGCAGUGAAUGCCUUUAGGCAAGAUUGCUGGGCGCUUUCGCUAAUAAAUGUUAGAAUUUCUGCUUCGGGUGGUGCUAAUGUUUAAAGGAGGAACUCGUUUAGUAUAUUUUUUAUUCGCUUAGGUUGUUGGCUUAAUGACUCUAAAUGACCCGUCUUGAAACACGG
Molecule: ribosomal RNA, 734 nt
Filed under: uncultured fungus
Lineage: Eukaryota; Fungi
Description: LSU rRNA
Rfam family: Eukaryotic large subunit ribosomal RNA
Source: RNAcentral